RNAcentral lists this ribosomal RNA (990 nucleotides) under Tilapia ruweti (Okavango tilapia). RNAcentral's name for it is "partial 16S ribosomal RNA". The stretch from base 188 to 990 matches the Rfam family "Bacterial large subunit ribosomal RNA", at positions 568 to 1875 of the family's 2925-position model. Lineage: Eukaryota; Metazoa; Chordata; Actinopteri; Cichliformes; Cichlidae. The record is from RNAcentral.
CGCCCAACAGCUAGCCCACCCAUCAAUCCCAAACACACCCUAUUAAUACCCCCAAACACACCACCUCCUAACAAACAAACCAUUUUUCCACCUAAGUACGGGCGACGAAAAAGGACCCAGGAGCAACAGAGAAAGUACCGCAAGGGAAAGCUGAAAGAGUAAUGAAACAACCCAGUAAAGCACUAAAAAGCAGAGACCACCUCUCGUACCUUUUGCAUCAUGAUUUAGCCAGAAACCCUUAAGCAAAAAGCAUUGUAGUUUAAUUCCCCGAAACUAGGCGAGCUACUCCAAGGCAGUCUAAUUUAUAGGACACCCCCGUCUCUGUGGCAAAAGAGUGGGAAGAACUUUGAGUAGAGGUGACAGACCUACCGAGCCUAGUUAUAGCUGGUUGCCUGAGAACUGAAUAGAAGUUCAGCCCUUUAAAUUCCUCAUUCCCGUUGGUCCAAGACCUUCCCACCGAACAAAAGAAAUUAAAGGAGUUAGUCAAAGGGGGUACAGCCCCUUUGAAACAAGAUACAACUUUCCAAGAAGGGUAAAGAUCACAACAAACUUAAAGGUUUAAUGUCCUAGUGGGCCUAAAAGCAGCCACCUACUCAGAAAGCGUUAAAGCUCGAACAUUACACAACCAGCCUUCUAAUAAAGACAACACAAUCUCACCCCUCUAAACCUACCAGGCCGUUCCAUAAAAGUAUGGAAGCGUUAAUGCUAAUAUGAGUAAUAAGAGAGCCCCUCUCUCUCCCCGCACAAGUGUAACUCGGAACGAACCAUUCACCGACUAUUAACGGCCCCAAAACAAAGAGGGACUUAGACAAAAAACAAACAACUAGAAAACCACCUAACCCCUAACCGUUAACCCCACACUGGUGUGCCAAUCGGGAAAGACUAAAAGGAAAAGAAGGAACUCGGCAAACACAAGCCUCGCCUGUUUACCAAAAACAUCGCCUCUUGUACCCCUAAAUAUAAGAGGUCCCGCCUGCCCUGUGACUGUAA